CCUACGGGAGGCAGCAGUGAGGAAUAUUGGUCAAUGGACGAGAGUCUGAACCAGCCAAGUAGCGUGAAGGAUGACUGCCCUAUGGGUUGUAAACUUCUUUUAUAUGGGAAUAAAACGUUCCACGUGUGGGAUUUUGUAUGUACCAUCUGAAUAAGGAUCGGCUAACUCCGUGCCAGCAGCAGCGGUAAUACGGAGAAUCCGAGCGUUAUCCGGAUUUAUUGGGUGUAAAGGGAGCGUAGGUGGAUUGUUAAGUCAGUUGUGAAAGUUUGCCGCUCAACCGUAAAAUUGCAGUUGAAACUGGCAGUCUUGAGUACAGUAGAGGUGGGCGGAAUUCGUGGUGUAGCGGUGAAAUGCGUAGAUAUCACGAAGAACUCCGAUUGCGAAGGCAGUUCACUGGACUGCAACUGACACUGAGGCUCGAAAGUGUGGGUAUCAAACAGGAUUAGAUACCCCAGUAGUC
RNAcentral lists this ribosomal RNA (460 nucleotides) under uncultured bacterium. Its description in RNAcentral is "partial 16S ribosomal RNA". It matches the Rfam family "Bacterial small subunit ribosomal RNA", at positions 338 to 795 of the family's 1533-position model. The record is from RNAcentral.